GCUGAAACACCGGUUCUCGUUCGAUCACCGAAGUUAAGCAUCGUAGAGCCAGGUCAGUACUUAGAUGGGGGACCGCUUGGGAACACCUGGUACUGUAAG
Acanthosepion pharaonis is the source of this 99-nucleotide non-coding RNA. The record is from the annotation of a GenBank genome assembly. NCBI's taxonomy places the organism in Eukaryota, Metazoa, Mollusca, Cephalopoda, Sepiida, Sepiidae.